UCGAAUCGCAUGGCCUUGCGCCGGCGAUGGUUCAUUCAAAUUUCUGCCCUAUCAACUUUCGAUGGUAGGAUAGUGGCCUACCAUGGUAUCAACGGGUAACGGGGAAUUAGGGUUCUAUUCCGGAGAGGGAGCCUGAGAAACGGCUACCACAUCCAAGGAAGGCAGCAGGCGCGCAAAUUACCCAAUCCCGACACGGGGAGGUAGUGACAAUAAAUACUGAUACAGGGCUCUUUUGGGUCUUGUAAUUGGAAUGAGUACAAUUUAAAUCCUCUUAACGAGGAACAAUUAGAGGGCAAGUCUGGUGCCAGCAGCCGCGGUAAUUCCAGCUCUAAUAGCGUAUAUUAAAUUUGUUGCAGUUAAAAAGCUCGUAGUUGAAACCUUGGGCCUGGCUGGCCGGUCCGCCUCACCGCGAGCACUGGUCCGGCCGGGCCUUUCCUCCUGGCGAACCGCAUGCCCUUCACUGGGUGUGCCGGGGAACCAGGACUUUUACUUUGAAAAAAUUAGAGUGUUCAAAGCAGGCCUUUGCUCGAAUACAUUAGCAUGGAAUAAUAGAAUAGGACGUGCGAUCCUAUUUUGUUGGUUUCUAGGACCGCCGUAAUGAUUAAUAGGGACAGUCGGGGGCAUCAGUAUUCAAUCGUCAGAGGUGAAAUUCUUGGAUCGAUUGAAGACUAACUACUGCGAAAGCAUUUGCCAAGGAUGUUUUCAUUAAUCAGUGAACGAAAGUUAGGGGAUCGAAGACGAUCAGAUACCGUCGUAGUCUUAACCGUAAACUAUGCCGACUAGGGAUCGGGCGAUGUUUCUAUUUUGACUCGCUCGGCA
This 819-nucleotide ribosomal RNA is filed under the name Valsaria insitiva. RNAcentral's name for it is "SSU rRNA". It matches the Rfam family "Eukaryotic small subunit ribosomal RNA", at positions 260 to 1085 of the family's 1831-position model. Lineage: Eukaryota; Fungi; Ascomycota; Dothideomycetes; Valsariales; Valsariaceae. The record is from RNAcentral.